UGAACUGCAGCUGGAAGUCAGUGGAAAGUGACGUAGGGAAGUGAGUGGAUCUGUGUAAACAAAGCAGGGAAAUUGUUGAAAAAAACCUUCUUCUGGACACCCAGGGGCCGAAAUGGCGAGGCGGAGGGACUAUUCGUAUAUCAGUCCGUGCGUGAAAUGGACUCUUUUCUUCUUCAACUUCAUCUUUUGGUUGUUUGGGAUGCUGGUGUUGGCCAUAGGGCUGUAUGGAGUGGUGUUCACAGCCCAGGACUUGCAUGGCCUCAAGUCUGUUGAGACAGCCUACAUCAUAAUCACGGAUCUGUCGGGAGUAAUGGUGGUACUCGGCAGCGUCAUUUUCAUCGUGUCCUUCGCAGGAUGCGUAGGGGCUCUGCGUGAGAACCUCUGCCUGCUGAAGUUGUACUUCUGGAGCUUGACGAUCUUCCUGAUUGCCGAGCUGAUGUUUGCCAUUGCCUGCAUCAUUUUCCCAUGGAAAUCUAGGGAGAUUAUUGAACACCUGCUGUCAAAGCGCCUCAUUGAAGAAUACAGAGAGAGUCAAAACACCCAGAACUUUGUCGACUUCCUUCAGACUGAGUUUGGUUGUUGUGGAAUCACAGUAGAAGGUUACUUGGACUGGAACGUAAAUGAAUACUUUAACUGCUCAGAGUCAAGUCCCAGUGCAGAGAAAUGUGGUGUACCACCUUCCUGCUGCCUGAACAGAAAAAAUGUGACACACUUUGACUUCAUGUGUGGAUAUGGUAUGCAAAACAAAAAACCCCACGAAGCCUCGGAAACUAUUUACACUGGAGGGUGUGUGACAUCCAUCAUUCAGUUCCUGGAAUCGAACCUCUAUUGGGCUGCUGGAGUCAUAUUUGGUAUCACCUUGUUCCAGAUGUAUGUGACGCACCAAGCUCGCUCCCUGAUGGACCAGAUUUCCCUACAACGGUCUAGAUGAAGUGGAUGAUGUGCGCAGUAAGAAAAAAUGCCACAGCAAGAAAUGCAAUAACAAAGAUAGACGUGGCAUCCCAUUUUCAUCUUGCGGUCGAUUGAAUAUAACACAUCAGUAGUAAUGUUGAUCCCAAGCACAUUGAUAUGAAUUAUUUUUAAGUGAUCUGAUAUGUGUCAUUUGAAUCAGUGAGAAAGAAAAAUUGUACACUUCAUCCGUUACUGUUGUAUUUCACCUUGAUAUUCUCUUUUAUUUUAUUGUGGCUGUGUUUUAUGACAGGAUAUUUUGUUUGUUAUGUGUGGCUCUAUAUAUAUAUAUAUAUAUAUAUAUAUAUAUAUAUAUAUAUAUAUAUAUAUAUAUAUAUAUAUAUAUAUAUAUAUGUAUGUAUGUAUGUAUAUAUAUUAAAUUGUGGUUGCUUGUAUUGUGGUAAACAUGGAGAACUAAGUAGAUUAUAGAUAUGAGCCAUAUGUAUAGUAGAUAUGGUCAUAUAUAUAUAUUUAUAUAUUAUAUAUACAUAUAUUACUUGAUAAAAAACACACACACACAAAAAAAUAUAUAUAUAUAUAUCUUACAGAACUGAAGAAGAUUAGUUGUGUGUGCUCAAAUUAAAAGUUCUCCCUUUUUGCUGCAAAAGUUUCACAAAUGUCAUUUUUGUAAGGCUUAAAAAGUUGUAUGAUCCAGUUCAUGUGGUUGACGGUAUCCCUAAGCUCCGUUCUGACUUGCUCAUGCUGCAUUUGUGUGUGCUGUCCUGCUUUCAACGGGGAAUGGAUCUCAGGUAUCGAAGACGAAGGGAAGAGGAAAUGGAAGGUCAUGCUUACCUGUUACCCAAACAAUCAUAUUACUACCAAUGAAGAGCCACACAACAGAAAUAAACUGCAUUUUUAGUAUUGGUCCAAGUUUUGGUUAAUGGUCUAACUGGUAAUCCAUUCAGGGUUCAGCAUUCCAUAGGCUUUGUUUGUGAAAAAGAUAAGAAUCACAAUGAGGUCUUUAUAGCAACUUCGGGCAUGGUGAUACUGCAUGUAAGAAAACUGUAAAAUCAUGUUUAACCUUUUUUUUCUCUUCUUUUGUGUUUGUUAACAUUAUUUCUUAUAAUAUAUGCAUUGUGUUGAAAAUUCUCAACCAUCUCAAUACAGAGGACUAUCAUGCUGCAGGGAAAUCCAUAGAUGUUCUCACUCUGAUAUGCAGAAGCCCAUGCCAUGUAGUUUUAACCAAAAGCUGAGAAUAAAUAGAUGAAUGAGUAAAUAGUGAAUGCUAAACCUGGCAUAAUUCUUUUUAUGUUGAUUGAGCUGUUCUCCAGAUGUAUACAUCAUUGGUGCCUUCCGUGUAUAAAUUAACAUACCAUAAUAUCUACAGUUACACAGUAAGUCAGCGACAGAAAAUAACACCAUGGAAAAGUGAUGGAUCUCUUAUUCUGAGUGAGCUCGUGUGCCUGAGCAUUUUGAUCUUGUUUUUAUUUAUUCAUUUUUUAAUAUAUAUCUGUGUGAUGGAAUGAAAUAUAGUUUCUCAUCACUGCAAGGUCUUAGGCUGCAGUGGAUAAUGAAAUGGAGAGUUUGUCUUUCAAUUUUAGUAGGAUAAAAGCUGUUAUAAGAGGCUACUGUUACAUAACUUUAUGACUGUUAGAUAUUUGUGCCUAUUUGUAGUAGAAUUUAAUACUAUUAUAUUUUCUUUCUCUUUUGUGUAAGAGCUUUUAAAGAUAACAUGAAUUAGUGUGUCAUAUCUCAGUGUCAUAGGUUUAUAACAUCAUGUCCUAUAUGCCUACAUCUUUGGAGGCAGUGUUGGGUACAAAUAGAAUAUGGAGACUGAAUAUUUUGUAAAGAAAGAAAUGUUCACCCUUUUCUGAAUAAAUGUGAUUCAUACAAUAAUA
This 2786-nucleotide unclassified non-coding RNA is filed under the name Penaeus japonicus. RNAcentral describes it as "tetraspanin-33-like, transcript variant X1". The record is from RNAcentral. Lineage: Eukaryota; Metazoa; Arthropoda; Malacostraca; Decapoda; Penaeidae.